GAUGUUACUCCUGUUACCUGUCCUCUUGACCUUUCUGUCAAGCUCAAAAUGGCUGAAGGAGAUCCUCUUCCAUCUCCGGAAUCCUAUAGAAGCCUGGUGGGGAAGCUCAAUUUUCUCAUUCACACUAGACCUGAUUUGGCCUUUGCUAUACAACAUCUUAGUCAGUAUCUUCAGAAGCCUACUUCCUCUCACAUGCAUGCAGCUUUGCAUACACUCAGAUAUCUUAGAGGAACUUCUGAAGUUGGGGUCUUCAUCAGCAACUCCUCUGACCUCUCCUUGUCUGCCUAUUAUGAUAGUGACUGGGCUUCCUGUCCAGACACUAGGAGAUCUGUCUCUGGACAACACCCCUGAUCUCUCCUUGUCUGCCUAUUGUGAUAGUGACUGAGCUUCCUGCCCAGACACUAGGAGGUCUGUUUCUGGGUUUUGUAUUCUUUUGGGUAUCUCUCUUAUUGGUUUGAAGGCUAAGAAGCAGCCUGUGGUGACCUUGUCUUCUGCUGAGGCUGAGUACAGGGCCAUGAGUAAAGUUGUUGGUGAGCUCACCUGGCUUGUUCGAUUACUGUCUGAUUUUGGUGUUCUUGUU
This 580-nucleotide long non-coding RNA is filed under the name Nicotiana benthamiana. RNAcentral's name for it is "long non-coding RNA (NBEN_LNC007948)". Lineage: Eukaryota; Viridiplantae; Streptophyta; Magnoliopsida; Solanales; Solanaceae. The record is from RNAcentral.